AUACGUAGGGGGCGAGCGUUGUCCGGAAUGAUUGGGCGUAAAGGGCGCGUAGGCGGCGCGGUAAGUCUGGAGUGAAAGUCCUGCUUUCAAGGUGGGAAUUGCUUUGGAUACUGCCGCGCUUGAGUGCAGGAGAGGUUAUCGGAAUUCCCGGUGUAGCGGUGAAAUGCGUAGAGAUCGGGAGGAACACCAGUGGCGAAGGCGGCUUACUGGGCUGUAACUGACGCUGAGGCGCGAAAGCGUGGGGAGCGAACAGGAUUAGAUACCCUGGUAGUCCACGCUGUAAACGAUGAAUGCUAGGUGUAGGGGGUAUCGACCCCUCCUGUGCCGGAGUAAACGCAAUAAGCAUUCCGCCUGGGGAGUACGGCCGCAAGGUUGAAACUCAAAUGAAUUGACGGGG
This 397-nucleotide ribosomal RNA is filed under the name uncultured bacterium. RNAcentral describes it as "partial 16S ribosomal RNA". It matches the Rfam family "Bacterial small subunit ribosomal RNA", at positions 523 to 918 of the family's 1533-position model. The record is from RNAcentral.